GGGGAGAUAGCUCAGUGAUAAAGCACCUGCCUAGCAUGCAUGAGGCCCUGGGUUCAAUCCCCUUCAUCACCA
RNAcentral lists this transfer RNA (72 nucleotides) under Ictidomys tridecemlineatus (thirteen-lined ground squirrel). RNAcentral's name for it is "Spermophilus tridecemlineatus (thirteen-lined ground squirrel) tRNA". It matches the Rfam family "tRNA". From Rfam's summary of the family: Transfer RNA (tRNA) molecules are approximately 80 nucleotides in length. Lineage: Eukaryota; Metazoa; Chordata; Mammalia; Rodentia; Sciuridae. The record is from Rfam by way of RNAcentral.